Molecule: ribosomal RNA, 497 nt
Filed under: uncultured bacterium
Lineage: Bacteria
Description: partial 16S ribosomal RNA
Rfam family: Bacterial small subunit ribosomal RNA
Source: RNAcentral
GAUGAACGCUGGCGGCGUGCCUAAUACAUGCAAGUCGAGCGAACAGACGAGGAGCUUGCUCCUCUGACGUUAGCGGCGGACGGGUGAGUAACACGUGUAUAACCUACCUAUAAGACUGGGAUAACUUCGGGAAACCGGAGCUAAUACCGGAGAAUAUAUUGAACCGCAUGGUUCAAUAGUGAAGGUCGGUUUUGCUGUCACUUAUAGAUGGAUCCGCGCCGCAUUAGCUAGUUGGUAAGGUAACGGGUUACCAAGGCAACGAUGCGUAGCCGACCUGAGAGGGGGAUCGGCCACACUGGAACUGAGACGCGGUCCAGACUCCUACGGGAGGCAGCAGUAGGGAAUCUUCCGCAAAGGGCGAAAGCCUGACGGAGCAACGCCGCGUGAGUGAUGAAGGUCUUGGGAUCGUAAAACUCUGUUAUUAGGGAAGAACAAAUGUGUAAGUAACUAUGCACGGCUUGACGGUACCUAAUCAGAAAGCCACGGCUAACUACGUG